GGGUAGAUAGCCUAAUGGUUAGCAGCCCUAUGUAGAACUAGAAGGUCAUGGGUUCGAUUCCCAUUAGGUCCU
Non-coding RNA from Aspergillus carlsbadensis, 72 nucleotides. Lineage: Eukaryota; Fungi; Ascomycota; Eurotiomycetes; Eurotiales; Aspergillaceae. The record is from the annotation of a GenBank genome assembly.